Cornus florida is the source of this 1307-nucleotide RNA transcript. It is a transcript of the gene named probable plastid-lipid-associated protein 11, chloroplastic, with no coding region annotated. The transcript has 5 exons. The record is from RefSeq and is a predicted model, not a curated record. NCBI's taxonomy places the organism in Eukaryota, Viridiplantae, Streptophyta, Magnoliopsida, Cornales, Cornaceae.
CGUCCCCCACCCUUCUUGGACGGACCAUCGUCAAGAUCCCGACCGCCCUUUUCUUUAGCCAAGCCUCUUAUCCAGACCAAUUUACACACAGUCACACACUGUCAUAUAUAGUUCCAUGGCCACAUGCCAUUUCUUUCCCGCCAUUUCCCUCCUCACCACCACCCACUUCAAAUCCCCAAACUGGCCAAACCCUAGCCCUCUCUCUCCAAAAACCACAAAAUGCAGAGCCCCUACACUCGCCCGAUCGUCCCUCACCGACCAGUCCCUCACAGCCAAACGCAUCCUCCUCGACCUCAUCUCCGACCAAGACCGAGGCCUCAAAACCCAGAACAACCCUCGAAUGCUCUCUGAAAUCGUCGAAGCCAUUGACGCCAUGGCCGUUGUGGGCAGCGAUUCGGUCACCACCGGCUCUUCACUCUCCGGCACGUGGAGGUUGCUAUGGACAACGGAGAAAGAACAGCUUUUCAUCAUCAAGAACGCCUCUCUCUUCGGGACACAAGCCGGCGACGUGUUACAGGUCAUUGACGUUGAAGAGCGUCGUCUGAACAACGUCAUCACAUUUCCCCCACAUGGGGUUUUCUUUGUUCGGUCAAGUAUCGAAAUUGCUUCGUCUCAGAGAGUGAAUUUCAGAUUUACUAGUGCAGUUCUACGAGGGGAGAAUUGGGAGAUUCCAUUGCCACCAUUUGGGCAGGGGUGGUUCGAAUCUGUAUACCUAGACAAUGAUAUUCGGGUUGUAAAGGAUAUCCGUGGAGAUUAUUUAGUUGUUGAUCGUGCUCCCUAUGAAUGGACAGAAUGAUUUAUUUUAACUUGGGUUUGAAUCUGUAUAUAUAGACAAUGAUAUUCGGGUUGCUAAGGAUAUCCGUGGAGAUUAUUUGGUUGUUGAUCGUGCUCCUUAUGAAUGGACAGAAUGAUUUAUUUUAACUCGGUUUGCUUGCUUUUGGAUGGUACUCUUGGCUCUUGAUGUUAGCCCUUGAAACGUCAUGGUUGAAAGCGUGAUUUUGUUAAGUCAGAUUUUGGCUCUCUUCACUGUAUAGUUCAGUCGAAUCUUGCUGUUGAACUCUUAUAUCAUCAUCAUCAUCCUUGCCUUUAUCCCAUAGAGUCAGAUUUUGAACUCUCAUAUCUUGUAUAUAAUGUCAAGUUUUACUGCAACAAUAUGGGCUGCAUUUAUUCUUUGUAAAAUCAGGUUUCAGAGUGCUCUGGAGUGUAUAUAUUUCGUUGUAUUAUACAUAAAUUUUCUCAGAUUGACUAUAGAACUUACUUGUAUGCUAUUUUCUUGAAGAUAAUCUCAUAUAUUUUGUUUCGACUCA